RNAcentral lists this ribosomal RNA (491 nucleotides) under uncultured bacterium. Its description in RNAcentral is "partial 16S ribosomal RNA". It matches the Rfam family "Bacterial small subunit ribosomal RNA", at positions 29 to 507 of the family's 1533-position model. The record is from RNAcentral.
GUGAACGCUGGCGGUAGGCCUAACACAUGCAAGUCGAACGGCAGCACCGUAAGAGCUUGCUCUUACGGGUGGCGAGUGGCGGACGGGUGAGGAAUACAUCGGAAUCUACUUUUUCGUGGGGGAUAACGUAGGGAAACUUACGCUAAUACCGCAUACGACCUACGGGUGAAAGCAGGGGAUCUUCGGACCUUGCGCGAUUGAAUGAGCCGAUGUCGGAUUAGCUAGUUGGCGGGGUAAAGGCCCACCAAGGCGACGAUCCGUAGCUGGUCUGAGAGGAUGAUCAGCCACACUGGAACUGAGACACGGUCCAGACUCCUACGGGAGGCAGCAGUGGGGAAUAUUGGACAAUGGGCGCAAGCCUGAUCCAGCCAUACCGCGUGGGUGAAGAAGGCCUUCGGGUUGUAAAGCCCUUUUGUUGGGAAAGAAAAGCAGCAGGUUAAUACCCCGCUGUUCUGACGGUACCCAAAGUAUAAGCACCGGCUAACUUCGUG